CACGUAGGAUCCGAGCGUUAUCCGGAUUUACUGGGCGUAAAGCGCGUGCAGGCGGCCGGGUAAGUUGGACGUGAAAGCUCCUGGCUCAACUAGGAGAGGUCGUUCAAAACUGCCUGGCUAGAGGGCGACAGAGGGAGGUGGAAUUCCCGGUGUAGUGGUGAAAUGCGUAGAUAUCGGGAGGAACACCAGUGGCGAAGGCGGCCUCCUGGGUCGCCCCUGACGCUCAGACGCGAAAGCUAGGGGAGCGAACGGGAUUAGAUACCCCGGUAGUCCUAGCUGUAAACGAUGUGGACUUGGCGUUGGUGGGGCCAAAUCCAUCAGUGCCGGAGCUAACGCGAUAAGUCCACCGCCUGGGGACUACGGCCGCAAGGUUAAAACUCAAAGGAAUUGGCGGGGGCCCGCACAAGCAGCGGAGCGUGUGGUUUAAUUCGAUGCUACACGAAGAACCUUACCCGGGUUUGACAUCCAGGUGGUAGGGAACCGAAAGGUAACCGACCCUUCGGGGAGCCUGGACAGGUGCUGCAUGGCUGUCGUCAGCUCGUGUCGUGAGAUGUCCGGUUAAGUCCGGUAACGAGCGCAACCCUUGCUGUAUGUUACAUGUGUCAUACAGGACUGCCGGUUUAGUGCCGGAGGAAGGCGGGGAUGACGUCAAGUCAGCAUGGCCUUUAUAUCCGGGGCUACACACACGCUACAAUGGCCAGUACAACAGGUUGCAAAACCGCGAGGUGGAGCCAAUCCCCAAAACUGGCCUCAGUUCAGAUUGCAGGCUGCAACUCGCCUGCAUGAAGUCGGAGUUGCUAGUAACCGCGCGUCAGCAAUAGUGCGGUGAAUACGUUCUCGGGCCU
This 845-nucleotide ribosomal RNA is filed under the name uncultured bacterium. RNAcentral's name for it is "SSU rRNA". It matches the Rfam family "Bacterial small subunit ribosomal RNA", at positions 524 to 1381 of the family's 1533-position model. The record is from RNAcentral.